CCUACGGGUGGCAGCAGUGAGGAAUAUUGGUCAAUGGGCGCGAGCCUGAACCAGCCAAGUAGCGUGAAGGAUGACUGCCCUACGGGUUGUAAACUUCUUUUAUAAAGGAAUAAAGUGAGGCACGUGUGCCUUUUUGUCUGUACUUUAUGAAUAAGGAACGGCUAACUCCGUGCCAGCAGCCGAGGUAAUACGGAGGUUCCGAGCGUUAUCCGGAUUUAUUGGGUUUAAAGGGAGCGUAGAUGGGUUGUUAAGUCAGUUGUGAAAAGUUGCAGCUCAACCGUAAAAUUGCAAUGGAUACUGGCAGACUUGAGUACAGUGGAGGUAGGCGGAAUUCGUGGUGUAGCGGUGAAAUGCUUAGAUAUCACGAAGAACUCCGAUGGCGAAGGCAGCUUACUAAACUGCCACUGACAUUGAUGCUCGAAAGUGUGGGUAUCAAACAGGAUUAGAUACCCGAGUAGUC
Molecule: ribosomal RNA, 460 nt
Filed under: uncultured bacterium
Lineage: Bacteria
Description: partial 16S ribosomal RNA
Rfam family: Bacterial small subunit ribosomal RNA
Source: RNAcentral